CACUGCUGAGGAGUCCCAUAAUAGGACGAAAUGGCCGUCCAGGGC
Schistosoma mansoni is the source of this 45-nucleotide non-coding RNA. Lineage: Eukaryota; Metazoa; Platyhelminthes; Trematoda; Strigeidida; Schistosomatidae. The record is from Rfam.